UCCGUCGUCGUUAACUUUUACAAAAAUCUUCUCCUCUUAAACAACUGGGCCAAAUUCAACUAGACUUGGCCACACACAUCAUUGGGGUAUCCAACCAAUUAAGAUGACCGCCAUGGCAAAAAAUAGAACAUAGGGGUUAAAUGUAGGGUUUGGCUUAUAACUCUGAAACCAAAGCAUUUAGAGCACAUCUAAAAGUGUUUAUCAGGUCAAGAUCUAUCUGCCUUGAAAUUUUCAGAUGAAUCGGACAACCGGUUGUUGGGUUGCUGCCCCUAAAUUGGUAAUUUUAAGGAAAUUUUGCCGUUUUUUUUUAUUAUCUUGAACAUGAUUUUAGAUAGAGAUAAAUUGUAAACAGCAAUAAUGUUCAGUAAAGUAAGAUCUACAAAUAAGUCAACAUGACCAAAAUAGUCAUGUGACCCCUUAAGUAGUUAUUGCCCUUUAUAGUAACUUUUUUAACUAUUUUUUCGUAUCUGUUUUGUAAU
Molecule: long non-coding RNA, 479 nt
Filed under: Mytilus galloprovincialis (Mediterranean mussel)
Lineage: Eukaryota; Metazoa; Mollusca; Bivalvia; Mytilida; Mytilidae
Source: RNAcentral